This 490-nucleotide ribosomal RNA is filed under the name uncultured bacterium. Its description in RNAcentral is "partial 16S ribosomal RNA". It matches the Rfam family "Bacterial small subunit ribosomal RNA", at positions 30 to 507 of the family's 1533-position model. The record is from RNAcentral.
AUUGAACGCUGGCGGCAGGCCUAACACAUGCAAGUCGAACGGUAACAGGAAGAAGCUUGCUUCUUUGCUGACGAGUGGCGGACGGGUGAGUAAUGUCUGGGAAACUGCCUGAUGGAGGGGGAUAACUACUGGAAACGGUAGCUAAUACCGCAUAACGUCGCAAGACCAAAGAGGGGGACCUUCGGGCCUCUUGCCAUCGGAUGUGCCCAGAUGGGAUUAGCUAGUAGGUGGGGUAACGGCUCACCUAGGCGACGAUCCCUAGCUGGUCUGAGAGGAUGACCAGCCACACUGGAACUGAGACACGGUCCAGACUCCUACGGGAGGCAGCAGUGGGGAAUAUUGCACAAAGGGCGCAAGCCUGAUGCAGCCAUGUCGCGUGUAUGAAGAAGGCCUUCGGGUUGUAAAGUACUUUCAGCGGGGAGGAAGGGAGUAAAGUUAAUACCUUUGCUCAUUGACGUUACCCGCAGAAGAAGCACCGGCUAACUCCGUG